Molecule: long non-coding RNA, 1236 nt
Organism: Paramormyrops kingsleyae
Lineage: Eukaryota; Metazoa; Chordata; Actinopteri; Osteoglossiformes; Mormyridae
Source: RefSeq, a predicted model, not a curated record
GUGUUUAACGAUUCUUACCGGCAAUAGCAUUUGGCUCGUCUGCUCGUAAUCAUCUUCAAAAACAGACAAUGGCUGGAUAUUUGUAAACAUUUAUCCGUAAACCUGAUUUUGCAUAAAACGUAUAGCAUUUUUCAUCACAAUACUGCCGCAGAUUGAGGCUACGGCAGGGGGAGGGGUGAUCGGGAACAUAGGGGGCUGGGCGCGAUGCCCUGAGUGUACCCGGGAGAAAGAGAGAGCCGCCGAUCUGCGGGGAAAUGUUAACGGGACGCGUCCGGAGACUGUAAAUAAGCAACCAGAUGCGACUCACCGCAAUGUUUUUUUAAUUUUCAAAAAUCAUUUCCCCCUACGGUCACUCACUUGUCAGCCCCACUGUCCAGCUACUAGAUGACUGCGCACCCAGUCAGUGAUCGCAGGAUGGAGCCCGCGGUACUUAUUUUCUUGCUCUAUGUGAUGAUAGCCCAUGAGCUGGUGUGUGGAUGGAUGGAUUAUCGGAAACAGGCAGCCAAGCCCCGGACACAUUCCCGGCAGAUGUGGAGCUCCAGCCCCCGUUCCUGUCAGCGGCCCUCCCGUGUCGCCUGCCAGCCCGUGAGGUCCGAAAGGGAGGCUGACUGGAGGAAGAGAGGCAGAAUCGUACGGAAGGCUUGAGAAGGGACAGACAGGCAGACGGAUGGACAUUUUGCCCACUACGAUGCAGCAGCUGGUGUGAUGACACAGUGUCCAGUACUAAGAUGCAGAAGCUUCCUUUUGUUACUCUUUCCCUUUGCUCUACUUUUUCUUAAGUUGUCAACUAUUAUUUUUCUUUCCCUGUCUUUCUCUCUCUAUCUGACUCCCCCUUUAUUUCUUCUUUCUUCUGUCUCUCUUCUCGUUCUCUCUUUUUCCCUCUCCUCUUUCUCUCCCUCCUCUCUUCCUCUCUUUAUCUCUCCUAUUUCAGUUAACUUUCCCUGUCGGCUCCGGCUUAAUAGCGCAAUAAUCGAAAACGGUGAAUAAAGAGUAUAUCUCAAGUAACAAGAGGAGCUUAAUCCAAAUCUCCACUUGGCAAAAUAAAAGUGUUGGCACAAUAAAGCACCCAGACUAACAUCCUGCUGCUAAACUGCCGGACACGACAGGGGGAAAUAAAAAAGAAUUAAUCAUUUAAAGUAACACUAACACUCUUUUGGGUGCAGUUCCUCUAAACGUAGUGAAAAAUAUAACUGAUCCAUAUGAUGGACUUGGCCUCAGUAAUAUGUGGAUUCAUAA